AUGAAGAAUAUAUCACUGAGAUUAAUGGCCCUGGGUUGCAGCCAAAAGCAUCUCAGAGGUAGAACACUGUUGCAGAUGGUGAUGUUACCAUUUGAAAGUAAGAAGAAAACUAGUAUCUCUUGGGUCACCAAGAGUAAAAAUAGAGAAGAUGCUUACAAACUGCAACACAUAGAGUUUCUUGAAAUCACAGUUUGGGAGUGGAGGAAAAGGCUGCUUAAGUGUUUGGAAAGGGAGACUAAGGAUGAAAUAGAGUGGGGGUAUGAUGCAUUUCCUGACUGUGGUCGGCUUUCCAUGGGUGAAACAGAAAAGUCUUCAAAUAUCCUCACCAACUGCUUUCCUAGAUUUUUCAGCCAGUUACUUGACCAUAUUAGGAAAAGAAAGUUUGACAGCUGCAGUAAGCACACACAUCUGCCAUAUUGAGGUCAAGUGGUACACUGUCAUCUAUCGUAACAGCUGUUGUUGGGGGAUCGUUUCAAGUAUCCGAAGGAUGAAUGGAAUAUAAAUGAUCACUGCAUAAAGUAUAUAAAUUUGGGUUUAUUGGUUUUGAAACUGAUUUCUUAUCCACAUACUCUGUAGUUUUUUUUUUCCUAGUACUCCCAUGAGGCUCAGCAUGAGGUUACAAAGAAAAAAGAAAUCCUCAUCUGAUUAUCUAAAUAUUUAAGAAUGCCGAAAUCUUGCUGGCGUAACAAAUCAGUGCCAGAAAAAAGUCUUGUUAAAUGAACAGUUUCGUGUAUGGUUCCUACUUAAAAUAUAUCACAAUCUGAACUUAAAAUGCACAUAUAAAACUAUAAUAUAUAGUACAUCAUAUAUGUAAUACAAUAUGUGAAAUACAUAAAACAGUAUACUAAUAGGUCAAAUUUUAACGUUAUAUGAUAGGCCUAAUAUUGCUUUAAUAUCAUUUGUAAAGUCUUUCUAGAUCUAUGUUUUUCUCUCUCUAUCUCUAUCUCUAGAUUUGGAUCUCUGUCUCUAGGAUAGACUAAUAUUACCACUUCUAAACAUCUAUCCUGGAAUAUCAGGUCAUCUACAUCUAUGUACUAUGUGUGUGUUGUCACCAUUUUGUUUCUACAAAAACAAUGCUUUUGAUCAAAGUAAACAGAAAGUUUGAGGAGUUCAUAUUAAAAUGGAAAUGUAUAAACACACAUACACAGUCCGGUAGAGCUUGUAAGUGGGUUUGUCCAAUGUGAUUAGACAUAAAGAACAUAUUUUAAGUGAAAGGAAAUUAUUGGUUAUGUGGAAGAGUUACAAAGAUACAGAGAUGUUUUGGGGGCAGCUAUCAAUAAAGGAAGGAUUAUUGUAGGUAAUCAUAUGGUUUGGCAUUGUAUAAUUUUUUCACCAUUUACCAUUCUUUGCUUGUCUGACAUCAUCACAAUCAAUCAUUAAUUUGUGAAGAAAGUUUCCACGAAUAGAAGUCCUCAACACUUAGAAUUUUUGUAACCUGAAUUUUAGUCACAUGUAGGGAGAAGAGAACUUUUAUGACAGGAUGAUGCCAUGUUUGAUUCGCUUUAUGCUAAUUCUAAAAGAAUAGAUCAUUUGAAUCUAUAUCAUAUUUGUGGAGCUCUUGGGAAUAUGCAGAUUAAUAAAGGCCAUGCUACUGAAAGUUACCUUUUGUUUCUGUUGUCUAUCCUCACUCUUCAGUGAUCUUAUCCAGUUCUCUACCUUAAAAGACUACCUAUACACUGAUGACACAAAUGUAUAUCACUGGCCCAGACUUUCCCUUAAACUCCAGGCUUCUUCAUCCAACUGCCGUGAGACAUUUCCUCGGUCAUCUAAAUGUAGAGAAUCAAGCUGUUGAUUUCUUUACCUGUCUCCCUGUUUUCACGGUCUUUCCUAUCUCAAAAAUAAAUAGAUAAAUAAAUAAAUAAAAUUGUUUGUUAAGUUCUAGCAUUUUUAAUGGGCCUCACAUUGCUAUAAUGUUAUUGUAAAGUCUUAGUGAGGACUAAAUUUAUUCAAGAGAGUGUUAUUAGAACAAGAAAAAAUGAAUAGCUUUACUGUCUUCUCUUUUACAGUAGAGCAGAUGU
Molecule: long non-coding RNA, 2018 nt
Filed under: Pan troglodytes (chimpanzee)
Lineage: Eukaryota; Metazoa; Chordata; Mammalia; Primates; Hominidae
Description: lncRNA (ENSPTRG00000053598.1)
Source: RNAcentral